This 815-nucleotide ribosomal RNA is filed under the name Enterococcus faecium. Its description in RNAcentral is "bacterial SSU rRNA". It matches the Rfam family "Bacterial small subunit ribosomal RNA", at positions 17 to 844 of the family's 1533-position model. Lineage: Bacteria; Bacillati; Bacillota; Bacilli; Lactobacillales; Enterococcaceae. The record is from RNAcentral.
UCCUGGCUCAGGACGAACGCUGGCGGCGUGCUUAACACAUGCAAGUCGAACGAUGAAGCUGUGCUUGCACAGUGGAUUAGUGGCGAACGGGUGAGUAACACGUGAGUAACCUGCCCUCCACUUUGGGAUAACUCCGAGAAAUCGGGGCUAAUACUGGAUAUGACUAUGGCCCGCAUGGGUUGUGGUGGAAAGUUUUUCGGUGGGGGAUGGGCUCGCGGCCUAUCAGUUUGUUGGUGAGGUAGUGGCUCACCAAGGCGAUGACGGGUAGCCGGCCUGAGAGGGCGACCGGCCACACUGGGACUGAGACACGGCCCAGACUCCUACGGGAGGCAGCAGUGGGGAAUAUUGCACAAUGGGCGAAAGCCUGAUGCAGCGACGCCGCGUGGGGGAUGACGGCCUUCGGGUUGUAAACCUCUUUCAGCAAGGAAGAAGCGAAAGUGACGGUACUUGCAGAAGAAGCGCCGGCUAACUACGUGCCAGCAGCCGCGGUAAUACGUAGGGCGCAAGCGUUGUCCGGAAUUAUUGGGCGUAAAGGGCUUGUAGGUGGCUUGUCGCGUCUGCCGUGAAAACUCGAGGCUUAACCUUGGGCGUGCGGUGGGUACGGGCAGGCUAGAGUGCGGUAGGGGAGACUGGAAUUCCUGGUGUAGCGGUGAAAUGCGCAGAUAUCAGGAGGAACACCGAUGGCGAAGGCAGGUCUCUGGGCCGUUACUGACACUGAGAAGCGAAAGCAUGGGGAGCGAACAGGAUUAGAUACCCUGGUAGUCCAUGCCGUAAACGUUGGGCACUAGGUGUGGGGAGCAUUCCACGUUUUCCGC